AUGAAUGGAAUUCAAAGUUACUUUCAUGAAUCCCACAUGGGUGGCGAGGACCGGCUGUACUGUAACCAGUGCAAAAGCAAAGCUGAUGCCACCAUAAAACUAGAGAUGAAACAUCCUCCAGAGGUGCUGACACUGCUGCUGAAAAGAUUUAAGUUUGAUUACCAUGUCAAGAAAUGUGUUAAAAUUCAAAGCAAAGUACAAAUUCCCAGUAGCCUCCAGAUACCACCUAAUGAGAUUCAGAGUCUGACCUAUGAGCUUUAUGCCUAUGUGGAUCACUUUGGUGAGCUGAGACAUGGACAUUACACUGUCACAAUCAAGUCCCAGGAAGACAAGAAGUGGUACCACUUUGAUGACACCCUCGUCAAAUUGGUGAGACUAAUCAUUUUUGAAGAAUUUGUGAUCAACAUCAAGUUUAGGAUGUGAAACUAAUGGGUUCUUGUGUUUUUGCUUUUCACCUAAUCACACAAAACAUUUCAGGGGGAUUUCCAAGAACAGUAAGUAUUUAUUUAUCUCCCUCCUGAAUAUGACAAUGACCCUGAACUAUUUUUUCAUCUUCUUCAUUAGAUCUCAAAAUGUUUAUCUGGCGUUCUACAGAAAAGCUUCUGCUAUGGAUGCCCCAGCAGAAAACGUCUCUGAAGUGCCAACUUUGAAAGCUGGCCAGCAAAAUAUGAGUGAAAACAAUGUGAAGUGGGAUUGUGGUGCACAGCCCAAAGCACAGAAGGAUGUGCAGAAGGCAGAGGAGAAUAAAGGGGAAGUGGGAAACGGGUUAGCUGUCCCAUUGAGCAAAGAUAACAGCGGGAUUAGAGCUGAUAAUGACAGUGGAGGGUCAGUGAGUCAUGAGAAGUCUCACAGUCGACAAGAUUUGUCAAAAAACAACCAACACUUACCUGUUCAGGUUCUAAAUGAUUCAAAACCAGAAACUGGUGGACACAGCAGCUUUAAACAAGAAGGCAUACCAAAACAAAAUGGCCUUGAACCAACUCGGAGCAAUAAACAAAUUACAAAUCAACAUAAUAGAGUUGGUGGGAAUCAACAGCACCAUCAAGGUUUUCAGUCAAACAGCAAACGUGAUGAGGAUGCCACAAUAAGUAGCAGUCAGCCGCAAAAGUCUUCUAUGAAAAACAGCAAGAAAGAGAAAAGGAGCGAUUGUAAAAGCAGUCGAACCACAGAAAGGCCAGAAAACCCGUGUGGUGAGAGUAACGCGGGUCAGGACUCUCAGCACUUUAACAAUGUUCCUCAAAACAAGGUUAAGCAAAAUUUGCUGAAGAUUAAUAAAUGUGAACAAGCUGUAUCUAAAAGAUGUGAGCAACAAAAAGCGGAUAAAAGAAAAGUUCCAAAUGAAAACAGAACAGAUGAUGAACAUCUGAAAAAGGGUGAACCAUCCGUAAAACGGAAAUGUAAUCUUUUAGGACAGUCAGAUAUUUCCCUCACAAUUCAAAGUUCACAGUUAAAAAGCAGUAGUAAUACCGUUCCUUGGACUAAAGAGGCUAAAAUGCACAUUCUUCAGACUAACUGGCUCAAUAAAAGUGAAGAGGAGCUUCAAAGGAGCAAGCAAAAUGUUGGAAUGGGGAGCGAAAGAGAGAACGAAGAACCCAAUCCACAUUUUUACACAGGGUCGAAUGAGGAGCAAAAAGGAAACGAGUGUUAUAAGAAUGAUGACAAACAUGAGCAAAAGUUAGAAAAUCCCUGCUGUACAGGUGGAACGAUCCAAAAAACUGUUCAACUUGAAAUGGAAACCAACAGACCACAGAGUGAGCUGGGCCGAGAAAAGCACAUGACUUUGACUCAAGGAACAGAAGUAACUUUAAAGUCCGAAGCACAGUCCGAUCCAAAUAUAGAUGAGGUUCAGUCAAUGUUCAGCAAACUAACUGUGAAAGAUUCAUCAGAGCUAGAGGGAUACGGUGCUGACAACACUGGUGGAAACAAAGACCGUUGUUCUGGGAAACCUGGUUUAACAGAGACACAUCUGGAGAAAAUGACGCGAGACUCGGUGAAGGCAGGUGACAAAAAAGAGGGGUCUGGUGGAAAAAAGAGAACAAACAAAAUGAAGGGAACGGUUUUUAUGGUGGCAGGUCUUAAUGUGCCAAAAAGAUAA
This 2095-nucleotide long non-coding RNA is filed under the name Nothobranchius furzeri (turquoise killifish). Its description in RNAcentral is "lncRNA (ENSNFUG00015000484.1)". The record is from RNAcentral. Lineage: Eukaryota; Metazoa; Chordata; Actinopteri; Cyprinodontiformes; Nothobranchiidae.